GACCGAUAGUGAACCAGUACCGUGAGGGAAAGGCGAAAAGAACCCCGGCGAGGGGAGUGAAAAAGAACCUGAAACCGUGUACGUACAAGCAGUGGGAGCCCCACCACUAAGCCAGUGGUGAACUCCACAUCCGCAUCCUUUGCUGAGGAUACGGUUAACGGAGCGAAAGCGACGUUCAACCGCAAAACAAGCAGAGGGGGCUUAGUGGUGGGGUGACUGCGUACCUUUUGUAUAAUGGGUCAGCGACUUAUAUUCUGUAGCAAGGUUAACCGUAUAGGGGAGCCGGAGGGAAACCGAGUCUUAAUUGGGCGUUAAGUUGCAGGGUAUAGACCCGAAACCCGGUGAUCUAGCCAUGGGCAGGUUGAAGGUUGGGUAACACUAACUGGAGGACCGAACCGACUAAUGUUGAAAAAUUAGCGGAUGACCUGUGGCUGGGGGUGAAAGGCCAAUCAAACCGGGAGAUAGCUGGUUCUCCCCGAAAGCUAUUUAGGUAGCGCCUCGUGAAUUCAUCUCCGGGGGUAGAGCACUGUUUCGGCUAGGGGGCCAUCCCGGCUUACCAACCCGAUGCAAACUGCGAAUACCGGAGAAUGUUAUCACGGGAGACACACGGCGGGUGCUAACGUCCGUCGUGAAGAGGGAAACAACCCAGACCGCCAGCUAAGGUCCCAAAGUCAUGGUUAAGUGGGAAACGAUGUGGGAAGGCCCAGACAGCCAGGAUGUUGGCUUAGAAGCAGCCAUCAUUUAAAGAAAGCGUAAUAGCUCACUGGUCGAGUCGGCCUGCGCGGAAGAUGUAACGGGGCUAAACCAUGCACCGAAGCUGCGGCAGCGAACGUAUCACCCAAGACAACUUUACGGAGUUGACGAUUGACGGAGCGAAGCGACGUCAAAGCGUUCAUUAAAGUCGAGUUGGCUUAGGGAUACGUUCGUUGGGUAGGGGAGCGUUCUGUAAGCCUGUGAAGGUGUGUCGUGAGGCAUGCUGGAGGUAUCAGAAGUGCGAAUGCUGACAUAAGUAACGAUAAAGCGGGUGAAAAGCCCGCUCGCCGGAAGACCAAGGGUUCCUGUCCAACGUUAAU
RNAcentral lists this ribosomal RNA (1073 nucleotides) under Salmonella enterica subsp. enterica serovar Typhimurium. RNAcentral's name for it is "partial 23S ribosomal RNA". It matches the Rfam family "Bacterial large subunit ribosomal RNA", at positions 482 to 1369 of the family's 2925-position model. The record is from RNAcentral. Lineage: Bacteria; Pseudomonadati; Pseudomonadota; Gammaproteobacteria; Enterobacterales; Enterobacteriaceae.